RNAcentral lists this ribosomal RNA (1561 nucleotides) under human gut metagenome. RNAcentral's name for it is "bacterial LSU rRNA". It matches the Rfam family "Bacterial large subunit ribosomal RNA", at positions 803 to 2451 of the family's 2925-position model. The record is from RNAcentral.
GAUGAACUGUGGGUAGCGGAGAAAUUCCAAUCGAACCCGGAGAUAGCUGGUUCUCUCCGAAAUAGUUUUAGGACUAGCCUCGUAUUAGAUUACCGGAGGUAAAGCACUGAAUGAGCUAGGGGCCGAGAGGUUACUGAACUCUAUCAAACUCAGAAUGCCGGAUAAUUGAUGUACGGGAGUCAGACAGUGUGAGAUAAGUUUCAUUGUCAAAAGGGAAACAGCCCAGACCCACAGCUAAGGUCCCAAAGUACGGUUAAGUGGAAAAGGAUGUGGGGUUGCACAGACAACCAGGAUGUUGGCUUAGAAGCAGCCACUCAUUAAAAGAGUGCGUAAUAGCUCACUGGUCGAGUGACCCUGCGCCGAAAAUUUAACGGGGCUAAAUCGUACACCGAAGCUUGGGAUGCAGUAAUGCAUGGUAGGAGAGCGUCGUAUAAGGGGUGAAGUCAGAGCGUAAGCGUUGGUGGACUUUAUACGAGUGAGAAUGCCGGAAUGAGUAGCGAGAAAUAUGUGAGAAUCAUAUUGGCCGAAAGUCUAAGGUUUUUGGAGGAAGGUUCGUCCGCUCCAAGUAAGCCGGGAGCUAAGGUGAGGCCGAAAGGCGUAGCCGAUGCACAUACGGUAGAUAUUCCGUAGCCGCCAAAAGAUUUAAGUAAGAGGACACCUUGAAAGGACUUGACCCGGGCGAUGGUUGCCCCGGGCGAAAGGGACCGAAAUUUAGUAGGGAAGCAAGUUUGGACGAGGGCGAGAAAAGUCUUAUGUAUAUCUUCGGCGCCCGUACCGCAAACCGACACAGGUAGAUAGGAAGAGAAUUCUAAGGCCAACGGGAGAAGGGUAGUUAAGGAACUCGGCAAAUUGACCCCGUAACUUAGGAAUAAGGGGUGCCACAGCGAUGUGGUCGCAGAGAAUAGGCCCAGGCAACUGUUUAUCAAAAACACAGGUCUCUGCCAAAUCGAAAGAUGAAGUAUAGGGGCUGACACCUGCCCGGUGCUGGAAGGUUAAGAGGAGAUGUGCAAGCAUUGAAUUGAAGCCCCAGUAAACGGCGGCCGUAACAAUAACGGUCCUAAGGUAGCGAAAUUCCUUGUCGGGUAAGUUCCGACCCGCACGAAUGGUGUAAUGAUCUGGGCACUGUCUCAACUACCCGCCCGGCGAAAUUGUAGUACCGGUGAAGAUGCCGGUUACCCGCGACAAGACGGAAAGACCCCAUGGAGCUUUACUGUAGCUUAAUAUUGGGUUUCGAUAAUUUAUGUAUAGGAUAGGCGGGAGACUAGGAAACCGUGGCGCCAGCCACGGCGGAGUCGACGUUGGAAUACCGCUCUUAAGUUAUUGGAAUUCUAACCUGCGGCCAUGAAUCUGGCCGGGGGACAUUGUUAGGUGGGCAGUUUGACUGGGGCGGUCGCCUCCAAAAAGGUAACGGAGGCGCUCAAAGGUUGGCUCAGCAUGGUUGGAAACCAUGCCUUAGAGUGUAAACGCGUAAGCCAGCCUAACUGCGAGGAUGACGGUCCGAGCAGUAACGAAAGUUGGAGUUAGUGAUCCGGCGGUAUGAGAGUGGAAUUGCCGUCGCUCA